This 592-nucleotide ribosomal RNA is filed under the name Rhodotorula sp. JGM09. Its description in RNAcentral is "eukaryotic LSU rRNA". It matches the Rfam family "Eukaryotic large subunit ribosomal RNA", at positions 47 to 654 of the family's 3401-position model. The record is from RNAcentral. Lineage: Eukaryota; Fungi; Basidiomycota; Microbotryomycetes; Sporidiobolales; Sporidiobolaceae.
UAAGCGGAGGAAAAGAAACUAACAAGGAUUCCCCUAGUAGCGGCGAGCGAAGCGGGAAGAGCUCAAAUUUAUAAUCUGGCACCUUCGGUGUCCGAGUUGUAAUCUCUAGAAGUGUUUUCCGCGUUGGACCGCACACAAGUCUGUUGGAAUACAGCGGCAUAGUGGUGAGACCCCCGUAUAUGGUGCGGACGCCCAACGCUUUGUGAUACACUUUCGAAGAGUCGAGUUGUUUGGGAAUGCAGCUCAAAUUGGGUGGUAAAUUCCAUCUAAAGCUAAAUAUUGGCGAGAGACCGAUAGCGAACAAGUACCGUGAGGGAAAGAUGAAAAGCACUUUGGAAAGAGAGUUAACAGUACGUGAAAUUGUUGGAAGGGAAACGCUUGAAGUCAGACUUGCUUGCCGAGCAAUCGGUUUGCAGGCCAGCAUCAGUUUUCCGGGGUGGAUAAUGGUAGAGAGAAGGUAGCAGUUUCGGCUGUGUUAUAGCUCUUUGCUGGAUACACCUUGGGGGACUGAGGAACGCAGUGUGCCUUACGGCGGAUUUCUCGAGAUCUUCACACUUAGGAUGCUGGUGGAAUGGCUUUAAACGACCCGUCU